AGAGUUUGAUCAUGGCUCAGAACGAACGCUGGCGGCAGGCUUAACACAUGCAAGUCGAGCGCCCAGCAAUGGGAGCGGCGGACGGGUGAAUAACGCGUGGGAAUAUGCCCUUUGGUACGGAACAACUCAGGGAAACUUGAGCUAAUACCGUAUGUGCCAGAAAUGGGAAAGAUUUAUCGCCAAAGGAUUAGCCCGCGUCCGAUUAGCUAGUUGGUGAGGUAACGGCCCACCAAGGCACCGAUCGGUAGCUGGUCUGAGAGGACGACCAGCCACACUGGGACUGAGACACGGCCCAGACUCCUACGGGAGGCAGCAGUGGGGAAUCUUGGACAAUGGGGGAAACCCUGAUCCAGCCAUGCCGCGUGAGUGAUGAAGGCCUUCGGGUUGUAAAACUCUUUCGACGGGGACGAUAAUGACGGUACCCGUAGAAGAAGCUCCGGCUAACUUCGUGCCAGCAGCCGCGGUAAUACGAAGGGGGCUAGCGUUGUUCGGAAUUACUGGGCGUAAAGCGCGCGCAGGCGGCCUUCCAAGUCAGGGGUGAAAGCCCAGAGCUCAACUCUGGAACUGCCUUUGAAACUGUUAGGCUUGAGUACGGGAGAGGUGAGUGGAAUUCCCAGUGUAGAGGUGAAAUUCGUAGAUAUUGGGAAGAACACCGGUGGCGAAGGCGGCUCACUGGCCCGUAACUGACGCUCAGGCGCGACAGCGUGGGGAUCAAACAGGAUUAGAUACCCUAGUAGUCC
RNAcentral lists this ribosomal RNA (740 nucleotides) under uncultured bacterium. RNAcentral describes it as "bacterial SSU rRNA". It matches the Rfam family "Bacterial small subunit ribosomal RNA", at positions 8 to 796 of the family's 1533-position model. The record is from RNAcentral.